GAAUAUUGGACAAUGGGCGCAAGCCUGAUCCAGCCAUGCCGCGUGUGUGAAGAAGGCCUUCGGGUUGUAAAGCACUUUCAGCGAGGAGGAAGGGUGUUGUGUUAAUAGCACAGCAUUUUGACGUUACUCGCAGAAGAAGCACCGGCUAACCCCGUGCCAGCAGCCGCGGUAAUACGGAGGGUGCAAGCGUUAAUCGGAAUUACUGGGCGUAAAGCGAGUGUAGGUGGCUAUGUAAGUCGGAUGUGAAAUCCCCGGGCUCAACCUGGGAACUGCAUUCGAUACUGCAUGGCUAGAGUCUGAUAGAGGGAAGUGGAAUUCCAGGUGUAGCGGUGAAAUGCGUAGAUAUCUGGAAGAACACCAGUGGCGAAGGCGGCUUCCUGGAUCAAGACUGACACUGAGGCUCGAAAGCGUGGGGAGCAAACAGG
Molecule: ribosomal RNA, 425 nt
Filed under: uncultured bacterium
Lineage: Bacteria
Description: bacterial SSU rRNA
Rfam family: Bacterial small subunit ribosomal RNA
Source: RNAcentral